RNAcentral lists this ribosomal RNA (504 nucleotides) under uncultured Bacillota bacterium. Its description in RNAcentral is "bacterial SSU rRNA". It matches the Rfam family "Bacterial small subunit ribosomal RNA", at positions 392 to 917 of the family's 1533-position model. The record is from RNAcentral. Lineage: Bacteria; Bacillati; Bacillota.
CGACGCCGCGUGAACGAUGAAGGCUUUCGAGUCGUAAAGUUCUGUUCUUGGGGAAGAUAACGACGGUACCCAAGGAGAAAGCACCGGCUAAAUACGUGCCAGCAGCCGCGGUAAUACGUAUGGUGCAAGCGUUGUCCGGAAUUACUGGGCGUAAAGAGUUCGUAGGCGGUUAGAUUAGUCGGAAGUGAAAGGCUACGGCUCAACCGUAGUAAGCUUUUGAAACUGUCUAACUUGAGUACUGGAGAGGAAAGCGGAAUUCCUAGUGUAGCGGUGAAAUGCGUAGAUAUUAGGAAGAACACCAGUGGCGAAGGCGGCUUUCUGGACAGUAACUGACGCUGAGGAACGAAAGCGUGGGGAGCGAACAGGAUUAGAUACCCUGGUAGUCCACGCCGUAAACGAUGAGAACUAGGUGUUGGGGGUCGAACCUCAGUGCCGCAGCUAACGCAGUAAGUUCUCCGCCUGGGGAGUACGAUCGCAAGAUUGAAACUCAAAGGAAUUGACGGA